UACGAAGGGGGCUAGCGUUGUUCGGAAUUACUGGGCGUAAAGCGCACGUAGGCGGAUUUGUAAGUCAGGGGUGAAAUCCCGGGGCUCAACCUCGGAACUGCCUUUGAUACUGCAAGUCUCGAGUCCGAUAGAGGUGAGUGGAAUUCCUAGUGUAGAGGUGAAAUUCGUAGAUAUUCGCAAGAACACCAGUGGCGAAGGCGGCUCACUGGUCCGGUACUGACGCUGAGGUGCGAAAGCGUGGGGAGCAAACAGG
This 253-nucleotide ribosomal RNA is filed under the name uncultured bacterium. Its description in RNAcentral is "partial 16S ribosomal RNA". It matches the Rfam family "Bacterial small subunit ribosomal RNA", at positions 524 to 776 of the family's 1533-position model. The record is from RNAcentral.